Molecule: long non-coding RNA, 1815 nt
Filed under: Taeniopygia guttata (zebra finch)
Lineage: Eukaryota; Metazoa; Chordata; Aves; Passeriformes; Estrildidae
Description: lncRNA (ENSTGUG00000024155.1)
Source: RNAcentral
AACCAUCGACUUCGUGCUAAAGUACCCAUGGGGGCUGGAGCACAGCCGGGUCUGAAUCCCAAGGCUGGAACAAAGGGAAAGAAUCUCCUGUUCUCACAGCCCACUCUUGUUUUGACCCAGGGGAAUCUUUCCCAAAGAAAGCUUCAUCAAUAUAAACCCAUUUUCACCAAAAAACCCCACAAAAACCAAACCAAAACAAAAGAAAGCUAGACUCACCAGAAUGAAAUGUUGCAAACUCAUUUCUCCUAACUCUAAACUGUAACAGCAAAGAUCAGGUUUCUUAUGAUUUUGACCAAGCUAAAAUAAUGAGAUCUCCUUUUGUGGUGUGCUUUGGAAAGGAUCUCUGUGGGUGCAGUUCUAGUGGAGGUGAAGUGGGCUUGCUAACUUCACAAGUGGUUUUCCAGGUCAGGACAGCAUCCUCUCUGAAUGUCUCAUGUGUCUGAUGUCUGUGGACCAGUCCUGCCACCCUGUCUGUCCCUGUGUCUAUAGCAGGGCUGCACUUUGACCCUCAGCUUUGGACAGCAUUGCCUGCUUCUUCCUGUGCUUGAGCCCACCCUGGGAUGCCCCCACAGUGUCUGUGCUGGAUUUGUAGCACAAAAAGACAAUAUCUUUCUCUCCUUUAUGAGGGAAUACUUGUAGCUCAUUUGAAGCAGAACAUAAUCUCGAGAAGAAGCUGAAGAACCAAGUUUCUAUCAGUGCAUGCUCUGUCAUUUUUCCAAUCACUCAUUCACUGCAAGAUCUCAAUCCACUCAUUCCACCUCUCUGACCCCAGUGUCCUCCCUGGGUGAUAACAGCAGUCACCCAUUUCUCUGAAGUGCUGGGUUCCAGCAGGGAAAAUGCUCCACAGACUCACCAGAAAUAGUGAUGAGUAUUAUUUUACAAAUGGGGAGAAAGUGGAAUUAGGUAUUUUUAGGAGACUCUCUCUUUUCUUACUUAAUUUCUGAAUUGGGAUAUUUUGAGUUGGCUCUUGGGAUUUUCCAAAGUGUCAGUCCUUUCUGUCAUGAUGUAGCCAGGCAGGAUUCACCCAGCCAUUCUCCAAAUUCUGCAGGCGGUCAUUGCACCAUAUGGAGUCCCAGUGCUGACUGACCAUUUGCACAGAAACAGUCUUUCUUACUGAAAGACCAGACAGCAUCAGUUCUGCAAGGCCAUAGGGACAGUGUUGGAGACAAGCCACACUGCCUGACCCUUGGAGGUGAUCCCUCCACACCUUCAGUGGGAACAGCAGAAAGCUUAGUUUUGUCUAGGACCUUCCACCUACCCCAAACCCCCAGGAUCCCCUGCAAAGUGUCCAGGAGGAUGGGAAAGACAGGUAUAUUUGUGCUCAGCCAUCACCAUAACCUGACCAAGAGGAAGUAUGGGCAGUCAGACACGGCACCACAGGAAAACAAGGGAUUGUGAUGUGGAGAGAUGCAUCUGGAUACAUAUUGCAAAGGAGCAGUGGUGUGAUGCCCUCCUUCCAUCAACAUGGUCCCACUCCUGGGGCUGGGGGAAAUGCUACCAUGAGUUUAGCCAAGUGAGGUAAAAAGCAAGGCUAGGGGAACCAGAAAGCUAAAUAAGGGGUGGAUUGGUACAAAGGAUAGCUGAGCAGAGGAAAGCAAAAGGAGGGAGCAGUGAAGGAACUGUAGCCCAGUACAGCUUGACUGAGAGGACCAGGAUGGGGGGAAGGGGACAGCACUGUCCUGUCCCUUAGGGAGCAGCAAAGGAACAUGGGGGAAAGACCAGAAGUGCCUGCAGCCAGGAGACAGGCAGACUGUGGGGGAGUGAGAGGAGAGCCCUGGGAUGCCUGGCAUUCCCCAGACCCCUCCACCAUCACCC